This 443-nucleotide ribosomal RNA is filed under the name uncultured Anoxybacillus sp. Its description in RNAcentral is "bacterial SSU rRNA". It matches the Rfam family "Bacterial small subunit ribosomal RNA", at positions 933 to 1382 of the family's 1533-position model. The record is from RNAcentral. Lineage: Bacteria; Bacillati; Bacillota; Bacilli; Caryophanales; Anoxybacillaceae.
UGGAUGAUGUGGUUAAUUCGAAGCAACGCGAAGAACCUUACCAGGGCUUGACAUCCCUUGAAUCGGAGGAAACUUCCGAGUCCUUCGGGACAAGGAGACAGGUGGUGCAUGGUUGUCGUCAGCUCGUGUCGUGAGAUGUUGGGUUAAGUCCCGCAACGAGCGCAACCCUCGACCUUAGUUGCCAGCAUUCAGUUGGGCACUCUAAGGUGACUGCCGGCUAAAAGUCGGAGGAAGUGGGGAUGACGUCAAAUCAUCAUGCCCCCUAUGACCUGGGCUACACACGUGCUACAAUGGGCGGUACAAAGGGUCGCGAACCCGCGAGGGGGAGCCAAUCCCAAAAAGCCGCUCUCAGUUCGGAUUGCAGGCUGCAACUCGCCUGCAUGAAGCCGGAAUCGCUAGUAAUCGCGGAUCAGCAUGCCGCGGUGAAUACGUUCCCGGGCCUU